RNAcentral lists this long non-coding RNA (1033 nucleotides) under Equus asinus (donkey). Its description in RNAcentral is "lncRNA (ENSEASG00005032168.1)". The record is from RNAcentral. Lineage: Eukaryota; Metazoa; Chordata; Mammalia; Perissodactyla; Equidae.
CGAUGCUCCCCUCGCCCCCAGGCUAGCUGGAGUGUGGCUGGGGUCCCUGCAGCUGCCCUGUAUGCUGUGUCACCCCCAGGAGAAAAGUCCCUGGCGGGAAGCGGCCCUCUGCCGGGAGGCUGUUUCCUCAACUGGCCAAGGUGAAGAAGUUGAGGUUCUGAGGAUGUGAUUAAACAGACAGCUGAUACACGGCAGAGCAGAGAGUUGCACUUGCUCUUUCCAGAUCACCUCCCUGUCCCUCAGCUCGACCCACUUUGGCUGGAGAUGGAGAGGGAGCACAAGGAAGGCCUAGGACAGCGUUUGGUUCCCAGUGGUCAUGGGAUCACUGCUGACUGAUGCUGAAUCUCGUGGAGAAGGGACUGGAUCCUGGAUGGAGCUUUGUGUCAGCUACCAAGUUCUCCUCUUACAUUCAGCAUCUGUAAAAUCAGGAGGUGGAGGAGAAAGCUGAGGGCUCCAGCUGCCCAAGAACUAGAACUAUCUAGCAUCUUCUUUCUCUCCUACUGCCCACCCGAGGCCUGCCUCUCACCACUGUUCAUCCUCAACCUGCUGCAGGGCCCAGCCUGGCUCCAUGUAAGCAAAGCUGCCAGCAGGGUCCUUUGUGGUGCUGCUCCCGUGUGGCACUGCCUAGGGGCCCCACCAUGGGGCAACAGAUGGACCUAUGGUCUCUACAGAACAAUAGUGGGGGAGGGGCCCUGGCAUCGCCCGCCCCAAACAGGAAGCGCUGCAUGAGCUUCAAAGAACUGGCAGGGCCAAGGGGCUGAGUGGCUGGAGCCAGUGCCAGGACCGGCGGCUGCCUGAAGAGAUGCCUGCCAGCCUCAGGAUGCCCAGCCUGCAGUGGGGGUGGGGCUGCAGUGGCCAGGGCAGCUGGGUCUCCGGCAGAGGAGGCUUUGCACCCUCAGUGAAGCAGCCACUGACCUGAGACAGGCUGAGGGAAGGGGGCUCAGACACCAGGCUGUUUCCUGGACCUGCUGCCACUAGCUAGCGGGGCUGCAGGUUCUUUCCCAGGCCACAGUGGGUCUGGCCCUCCAGCAAG